AAAAAAAGAUAAUGACUGACAUAAUUUAAAUGUAUUGAACUGAUUACAUGGGGAAGACAUUUUUGUUUGUAAGAUGUUUUAACAUGGAAAUGGCAAUUUCCCAACAGUAAAUACACAGACCUGUAUUCACCAAAUGUUGAGCAGGAGGACGAAGAGCCGGUUGCUGUCAAUGUGAAGAAUUUCCAACACACAGCAAUGUAAUAUGCUUUUGACUAUAGCACUCCAGUUUUUUCACUGUACAAUAGUUCUUGUAUAUCUGGAAUAUCCACAAAUGAAUUAACUUUUUGUCAUUACAGGGAGGAGACGGAUAUUGCAUUACCUGACAUUGUAGCAAACCUGUCUCUUCCUAUUGAUCAUAAAAAAGUCAGCCGGUUUAACAUCUCAAGGGAUAAUGUUUGGGAUGGGGCAGUCAGAGGUUUCAAGCGUACAACAUAUUCUGAAACCUGUGACAUGCUGGUGAAAUUUACUGAUGAUACUGGUGUUCUGGAAGAGGGAAUUGACACUGGUGGUCCAAGACGAGAGUUUUUAACUCUACUGAUGAAACACCUAAAAGACCGGCCCAUUUUUGAUGGACCAGAAGGACAUCGGUUCUUGGUCUACAAUGCAAAGGCUGUUAGGGAGGAUGAAUACUACUUGGCAGGAAAGAUGAUUGCUGUGUCAGUUGUGCAUGGAGGUCCAGGACCCCAUUUCCUGUCAGAAGAUCUUGUACAUUAUCUUGCAGGCCAGUCUUCAUUCAAAGCAACAAAUAAUUUAAUAACUGAUGAAGAAAUAGGGAAAGCUUUGCAAGAGAUUGAGAAUGCUGCUUCAUUGGAUGCUCUGCAAGAAUGUAUGAUGAGACACAGCACAAUGUUACAGACAGCAGGUUGUCUGAGAUGUGGCUACUGUGGAAGAAAAUAAAGAAAUCGUGUCAGACUACCUCCAAUGGUAUAUCAUUGACCGCAACUCAUCUGUAAUUGACAGAUUCAGAGAUGGUCUUUCAACCCUGGAGUUUUUGACUGCACUACAGCAACACCCUACUUUGCUGGCCCCUGUCAUGUGCCACUCUGAAAGGCGACUCACUGCUUUUGAACUUGAGAGACUCUUCAAACCUGACCUCAGUCCUUCGGGGAGUAAUCGAAGACUUAAAGAAAGUCAAACCAUGGCCUACUGGGCAGACUAUCUCCUUGAUUGUGAAGAAGGCCAGGCUGCUGUGUCUGUGGAAGAUGUUUUGAUGUUUGCUACUGGGCUGUCUUCACUUCCCCCAUCUGGCUUGGAACCACUGCCUCAAAUAGAGUUCCUGGAGGACUCUGCGUUCCCAAUGGCAAAUACAUGUUCAAACUCCUUGAGAUUACCACUCCUAGACUCAUACACUUUGUUUAAGUCACAAAUGGACUUUGGAAUUCAAAAUAGUCCAGGAUUCGGCUGUUUCUAAGCUAUAUGAUGGAUGACCCCUAGAGUUAAGACUCUGAAAAAGUUGUUGUUGUUAAAGGUUAGGGUUGGGCAUCAUUUAGAUUUUAACGAUUCUGAUUCCAAUUCCAAUUCUUCCUUUUGAUUCCGGUUCUUAUCGAUUCUCGAUUCCGAUUCUUUGAGUGGUGGAGUUGAAACGGGUCACAUGCUUAUUUCACAAAUAAGAGGAAAGUUUUAUUUUGAUUCAAAGGUGGGUUGCAGUUUGACGGGGCUUUUUCAGUGUAAAAUAAAGCCACACUAGAGCACCGCUUACUGUGCUCCAUGGCUGCAACACAACAAGCACCUGGCCGCUACAGAAACCAAAACUUGCGCAUGUUAAAUUUGGAACCCAUGAUCAGAUUUGAAACCCAAUCCUCCAAAACGAUUCCAAUAAAGAAACAAUUCCGAUGGAAUCGUAAUUUUUUUAACUAGUCCAAGUAGGAAUUGGUUCUUGAUGCCCAACCCUAUUAAAGGUGCACUUUUAAAGUGCAGUUGCCAAAGUUGUUUUUAUAAUGUUACUGUAUGUGAGCAUGUUCUUUUCUCACAGUAAACAUUUUGAAAAUGUUUUAGAUCCAUUACUCUCAAUACUACAAAAGUGUAAUAAAUACUGAUUACUA
Molecule: long non-coding RNA, 2042 nt
Organism: Coregonus clupeaformis (lake whitefish)
Lineage: Eukaryota; Metazoa; Chordata; Actinopteri; Salmoniformes; Salmonidae
Exons: 5
Source: RefSeq, a predicted model, not a curated record